GAGUUUGAUCAUGGCUCAGGACGAACGCUGGCGGCGUGCUUAACACAUGCAAGUCAAGGGGGCCCAGCAAUGGGCAACCGGCGAACGGGUGCGUAACACGUGAGCAACCUACCGAACUGUGGGGGAUAGCCGGCCUAACGGCCGAGUAAUACCGCAUACGCUUUCGAUGAGGCAUUUCAUUGAAAGGAAACCUACGGGACAGAUCGAGGGGCUCGCGGCCUAUCAGCUAGUUGGCGAGGUAACGGCUCACCAAGGCGACGACGGGUAGCUGGUCUGAGAGGAUGGCCAGCCACAUUGGGACUGAGAUACGGCCCAGACUCCUACGGGAGGCAGCAGUGGGGAAUCUUGCGCAAUGGCCUAACGGCUGACGCAGCGACGCCGCGUGUGGGAUGAAGCUCCUCGGAGUGUAAACCACUGUUGCCCGGGACGAAUAGCUCGAUUAAUCGAGCCUGACGGUACCGGGUGAGGAAGCACCGGCUAACUCCGUGCCAGCAGCCGCGGUA
Molecule: ribosomal RNA, 503 nt
Filed under: uncultured bacterium
Lineage: Bacteria
Description: bacterial SSU rRNA
Rfam family: Bacterial small subunit ribosomal RNA
Source: RNAcentral